CCCUUAGAUGUUCUGGGCCGCACGCGCGCUACACUGAUGCAUUCAACGAGUCUAAAACCUGCUCUGAUAGGGGUGGGUAAUCUUUUGAAUGUGCAUCGUGAUUGGGAUAGAUGAUUGCAAUUUUUCAUCUUCAACGAGGAAUGCCUAGUAAACGCAAGUCAUCAGCUUGCAUUGAUUACGUCCCUGCCCUUUGUACACACCGCCUGUCGCUCCUACCGAUUGAAUGAUCCGAUGAAUAUCAUGGAUUGAGGAUGUAAGCAGGUUCGCCUGUCUUCAUCUUCGAGAAGUGAAGUAAAUCUUAUCAUUUAGAGGAAGGAGAAGUCGUAACA
Molecule: ribosomal RNA, 329 nt
Filed under: uncultured eukaryote
Lineage: Eukaryota
Description: partial 18S ribosomal RNA
Rfam family: Eukaryotic small subunit ribosomal RNA
Source: RNAcentral